This 17-nucleotide small RNA is filed under the name Arabidopsis thaliana (thale cress). Its description in RNAcentral is "ATSL139780". The record is from RNAcentral. Lineage: Eukaryota; Viridiplantae; Streptophyta; Magnoliopsida; Brassicales; Brassicaceae.
UUUUUUUUUGGAUUUUU